Molecule: long non-coding RNA, 2973 nt
Organism: Cryptomeria japonica (Japanese cedar)
Lineage: Eukaryota; Viridiplantae; Streptophyta; Pinopsida; Cupressales; Cupressaceae
Exons: 2
Source: RefSeq, a predicted model, not a curated record
GGUACGGGUACGGGUUCUUCCGUAUAUAUAUAUAUUUAAUUUUUUUUUAUAUAUAUAUGUAUGUCAUAAAUUAUAUAUAUGUUCAAACAUCAAAAUUAUAUAUGGUCAUAGUUCAAACAUACAAUGUAACUUUCCCGUACAAUGAUACAUAAAUGAUAGCAGAGAAAUCAUAAAUGAGUUGAAUGAAUGUUUUGAUGCAUGAAAUGCAUCAUAAAGGGGCGGAUUAGGGUUUAGAUGUUAAAAUAGGAUUAUAAAAACCGAUUUUUAUUUGUUUUCUAACCCGUGGGCCCCCUUUUUGGGAACCUACGGGCUUGGAUUCACCCGGGUCCUCCUAGGUUCCUGUCCAGGUGGCUGGGUUCUCUAUGGGUCCUAACCCAGCCGCCUGGCAGGACCCAGGUGGGACCCAAGUCAAACCAGGACCAGGACCUGGGCAUUUUAUGGAAGAACCGGUAUCUGAGACCUAUAAGUUAAAUAUGAACUCUAACUUUCUAAAAUACACAAAUUUGAAAGGAACUCAUCAUGUAUAAGGUCCACAGGUCCAUAACAUUAAAGUUUAAACCAUAGUUACCAAAUAUAGUUUGGUCUAGACUUUUUGGACUAGCCAGAUUUGUAGAAUUAGGUCUGGAUUUUUUCAAUUUUCAUAGGAAUUUUACCCUUUCUUUUUAGAAAAUUUGGGAUCUCCAAAAUUUUUGACCUCCCAAAUGAAUCAAUUUUUUUUAACCUGUUAGAGUUGUAAUUUGCAUCUUUCAAUGCGACACAAAAUAGAUGUACAGUAGAUCUGCUAUUUGAAUAAGGGGAAACUCCUUGCAAAAUAAAAACUAACCUAAAAUUGGACAUGUACUUGUGAUUAUUUGGGUGAUUUAUGUUCAUGGUGAAUAGAAUUUUAUUGUCUCCAACUAGAAAUUUUAUCUAUUUUCUGACUUUUUAAAACAAAGGAAUUUUAUCUAUUUUCUAACUUUUUAAAACAAAACACAAACUAGAACUGAAAAAUAAAAAUGAAACCAAUUGUUGAAAACUUUGUGCCAAACCUUCUAUGUUUGAGAAACAACUUCAGCUUCACCCCAAACUAAUGAAGUUCACUUCUAGAUAGUAAAUAAUCCAAAUGAAAGUUCUGGUUACGGUCUGAUAUGUGAUAGACAAACAACUUAGCAUCCUCUUAUAUGCAAUUACACUCAGAUCUAAGUAGCCAAUGCUCAGAAACUUCAAAUACAGGUGCUGGUAUGACUGAAAAUAAAUGAAUAAGCCCCUCAAAUAUCAAUAAACAUUCAAGAAGGAAACCCUAGGUUAUUAAACUUGCAUGGAUCUGAAUUAAAUACCAAUUUAUCACCUUCAAAAUGCCUUUAUUAGAUUUGCAAAAUGCUAGAGCAACUUACAGUGAUUUAUAUGCACAAUUUCAGAUUUGCAAGAAUUGAAUGUGACUAGAAAUGAUGAAUGUACAGCGGUAGUAUGGUGAAUAUUAAACAAGCUUGGUGGUUGGAUCUUAGUAUAGAAGUACUGUAGAAGCAACAAUGGCGAGGCAAAAGACUUAGCGAGGUCGCAUGGUAGCUGGGAACUAUCAAUUAGAGGUCACACCAGUAGUCCCAAGCCUUCCAAAAUGUUGAUAAUAAAAUAUCUACAAACAGAAAAAAGAUGCUGAUGCUGUUUACCAAAUAGUGUAAUAACCACUCCAACUUUUUUUGAAAUUUUCAUAUGAAGCAAAGCUGCAAUGCAAUGUAUUUCACAUUUUCUGAUCACCUGGUUCCCGAAAUGGUCAAGGUGAGAGCAUACAUGUAUAGGAUCGCACCCAAUUAUGAAGUGCAAAACCAGCCAGAUUUUCCUUCUUCAGUAGAGUCUGCUUGAUGCAAGAAAUUGAAAGGAAACACACUAGGUGGCAAAGCUACCCAAAUCUGCACUUCUUCAGUGGAGUGUGCUUAAUCUAAGAACUGAAAGGAAACGCACUAGGCGGCAAAGCCAACCACUUCUAUGCUUAUUUACUGGAGUAUGCAGUUACAUCAAAAUGUAAAUAUGAAAUCACUGGCAGUACUACCAUCCCAGGUAUUACAAGAUAAUUUUGAAUAAAUAAUUUUGAUCAUUUGUGAGCUUUUCUUUUAGUGACAGGUUUGCAGGAUUCAAAAGAAAUUGUUUAAUCUUUGGAAGGAUUUAGAGGAAACAAUUGAUAUUUUUCCUUGGUGUGGGUUUACCUCAAAUUUGAUGUGGAAUUUCUAUCCUAAAUUCUUGGCGUGUGAACAUUAUUGCCUUUGAAAUGGCAUGGUUUAUAUAAUCAGCAAAGGACGAAUCUGCUAUUUAUUCCUCUUAAGGUGGACGCAAGGGUUUGAGAUCCUGAAGGGUUUCUACUCACUGAAUGAGGGAUUCUUUUGUGGUGUUGUGGGAGUGUUGGAAGAGUUAAGGUACUGCAUGAGGAUUAGCAUCAGAGUGUACUGGGGACGUUGGAAGUUAUUCUCUGCUGUCCUAAUCUUAAUGCUAGUCAAAUCUCAGGACUUAGCUGGGUGUGAACGAGAAGGUAGAUUUAUGGAACGUGGGAUUCAAAUAUGAACAGCAGUGUUGUGGAAGUGAAUUAAAUCACAAAAGAGAUUCAUGAAGGUAGCUUCAGCAGUUUCCUUUCUGGUGGAACAAUACACAUCACCCUAAUCCAUUGUAAUCAUGUUUGAAGAUCUAAGUGCUGGACACAAAUGAUUCUAGUGAUUCUUACAAUCAAAGUUCUUACUCAGCAAGUACAGGAAAAAGGAGUGUUGAGGACCUGGGAAGCAAGGAGGAGCAGGACGACACCAGCAGAUUUAUGGAUCAGCCAACGAGCGCUAGUCAUUCAGGCAAUGACUGGUCACCCUCUAGACAUGCAUUUUAGCAUUUACUUAUUCAUGUGUAAAUUUAGUUUUCAUGUGCAUCAUGCAUAUUGAAUGAACAUGGUCAGUCUCACGGCUUAUUGUGUGAGACAUGCAUUCUAUCAUUUUAAUAAAGCUUACAUUCUUUCCGAAA